Molecule: transfer RNA, 72 nt
Filed under: Stegodyphus mimosarum
Lineage: Eukaryota; Metazoa; Arthropoda; Arachnida; Araneae; Eresidae
Rfam family: tRNA
About the family: Transfer RNA (tRNA) molecules are approximately 80 nucleotides in length. Their secondary structure includes four short double-helical elements and three loops (D, anti-codon, and T loops).
Source: Rfam by way of RNAcentral
GCUCUCGUAGUGUAACUGUAAACACGUUUAGCUAGCAAUUGGUAGAUCUUGGUUCGAAUCCUAGUGAGGGCA